Molecule: ribosomal RNA, 253 nt
Filed under: uncultured bacterium
Lineage: Bacteria
Description: partial 16S ribosomal RNA
Rfam family: Bacterial small subunit ribosomal RNA
Source: RNAcentral
UACGUAGGGUCCGAGCGUUGUCCGGAAUUAUUGGGCGUAAAGAGCUCGUAGGCGGUUUGUCGCGUCUGCUGUGAAAACUGGAGGCUCAACCUCCAGCCUGCAGUGGGUACGGGCAAACUAGAGUGCGGUAGGGGAGAUUGGAAUUCCUGGUGUAGCGGUGGAAUGCGCAGAUAUCAGGAGGAACACCGAUGGCGAAGGCAGAUCUCUGGGCCGUAACUGACGCUGAGGAGCGAAAGCAUGGGGAGCGAACAGG